AUCUAGCUGAAGAGUCCCAAAUGGGACGCAAUGCGCGUCCUGAAU
Molecule: non-coding RNA, 45 nt
Filed under: Schistosoma mattheei
Lineage: Eukaryota; Metazoa; Platyhelminthes; Trematoda; Strigeidida; Schistosomatidae
Source: RNAcentral